AUUGAACGCUGGCGGCAUGCCUUACACAUGCAAGUCGAACGGCAGCACGGGAGCAAUCCUGGUGGCGAGUGGCGAACGGGUGAGUAAUACAUCGGAACGUGCCCAGUAGUGGGGGAUAACUACGCGAAAGCGUAGCUAAUACCGCAUACGCUGUGAGCAGGAAAGCGGGGGAUCGCAAGACCUCGCGCUAUUGGAGCGGCCGAUGUCAGAUUAUCUAGUUGGUGGGGUAAAAGCUCACCAAGGCGACGAUCUGUAGCUGGUCUGAGAGGACGACCAGCCACACUGGGACUGAGACACGGCCCAGACUCCUACGGGAGGCAGCAGUGGGGAAUGUUGGACAAUGGGGGCAACCCUGAUCCAGCCAUGCCGCGUGUGCGAAGAAGGCCUUCGGGUUGUAAAGCACUUUUGGCAGGAACGAAACGGUUUGCGUUAAUACCGCGAACUAAUGACGGUACCUGCAGAAGAAGCCCCGGCUAACUUCGUGCCAGCCGCCGCGGUAA
This 500-nucleotide ribosomal RNA is filed under the name uncultured bacterium. Its description in RNAcentral is "partial 16S ribosomal RNA". It matches the Rfam family "Bacterial small subunit ribosomal RNA", at positions 29 to 523 of the family's 1533-position model. The record is from RNAcentral.